CAAUAACGUAUAUUAAAGUUGUUGCAGUUAAAAAGCUCGUAGUUGGAUUUCUGGUCGGAAGCUCCUGUCCUCUGAUGAGCGUACAAGUGCGUCCUACCAUCCUUCUGUUAACCUUUAAGGCUUUCGCGGCUUUCUAGGGGCUCAGAUAUUUUACCUUGAGAAAAUUAGAGUGUUUCAGGCAGGCUAGCGCCGGAAUACAUUAGCAUGGAAUAAUGGAAUAGGACUUUUGCCUCUUCUGUUGGUCAUGAGGCUCGAGUAAUGAUUAAUAGGGAUAGUUGGGGGCAUUAGUACUUAACUGUCAGAGGUGAAAUUCUCGGAUUUGUUAAAGACUAACUUAUGCGAAAGCAUUUGCCAAGGAUGUUUUCAUUAA
This 370-nucleotide ribosomal RNA is filed under the name uncultured eukaryote. RNAcentral describes it as "partial 18S ribosomal RNA". It matches the Rfam family "Eukaryotic small subunit ribosomal RNA", at positions 592 to 976 of the family's 1831-position model. The record is from RNAcentral.